GACGAACGCUGGCGGCGUGCUUAACACAUGCAAGUCGAGCGAUGAAGUUCCUUCGGGAGCGGAUUAGCGGCGGACGGGUGAGUAACACGUGGGUAACCUGCCUCAUAGAGGGGAAUAGCCUUUCGAAAGGACGAUUAAUACCGCAUAAGAUUGUAGUAUCGCAUGAUACAGCAAUUAAAGGAGUAAUCCGCUAUGAGAUGGACCCGCGUCGCAUUAGCUAGUUGGUGAGGUAACGGCUCACCAAGGCGACGAUGCGUAGCCGACCUGAGAGGGUGAUCGGCCAAAUUGGGACUGAGACACGGCCCAGACUCCUACGGGAGGCAGCAGUGGGGAAUAUUGCACAAUGGGGGAAACCCUGAUGCAGCAACGCCGCGUGAGUGAUGACGGUCUUCGGAUUGUAAAGCUCUGUCUUCAGGGACGAUAAUGACGGUACCUGAGGAGGAAGCCACGGCUAACUACGUGCCAGCAGCCGCCGUAA
Molecule: ribosomal RNA, 478 nt
Filed under: uncultured bacterium
Lineage: Bacteria
Description: partial 16S ribosomal RNA
Rfam family: Bacterial small subunit ribosomal RNA
Source: RNAcentral